RNAcentral lists this ribosomal RNA (316 nucleotides) under uncultured eukaryote. Its description in RNAcentral is "partial large subunit ribosomal RNA". It matches the Rfam family "Eukaryotic large subunit ribosomal RNA", at positions 40 to 350 of the family's 3401-position model. The record is from RNAcentral.
AUAUCAAUAAGCGGAGGAAAAGAAACUAACAAGGAUUCCCCUAGUAACUGCGAGUGAAGCGGGAAAAGCUCAAAUUUAAAAUCUGGUGGUCUUUGGCCAUCCGAGUUGUAAUUUAGAGAAGCGUCUUCCGCGCUGGACCGUGCAUAAGUCUCCUGGAAUGGAGCGUCAUAGAGGGUGAGAACCCCGUCAUUACUCGAGUGUCGCGGCCAGUGUGAUACGUUCUCGUCGAGUCGGGUUGUUUGGGAAUGCAGCCCAAAAUUGGUGGUAAAUCUCAUCUAAAGCUAAAUAUUGGCGAGAGACCGAUAGCGCACAAGUA